AUUCAAAUUUUUUAUAUGCUACUAAAUAUACACAAAAAUUUAUUCAUAUAUUUAGUAAGAGAUAAGUAUAAACUUAAUAAAAAUUUAUAAUAGCAAAGCCACAACAUUAGUAAUUUCCACAUGCUAUAUACCUAAAUAAAUAUUUGAUCAUAAUUGUAUGCCACUGGAAAAAUAUUAAUAUCAUAAAUGAUAUUAAUAUUGCAGUUAGAAUUUGCUGAUUUAAAUAAAUGCAGUAUAGCUAUUUAUCAUUAUAAUCAUUUCCCAGUUUGAUUUUUUUUCCUUAUGUAACUUUAACUUAUUUCAGUACUUGCUUUUUAUAGCAGCCUUAGUGAGAAAAGGGAAUUGAUACUUUUAUGCCUUGGUGAGAAACAAUUGGUUACUGAUACACACAAGCAAUGUAUGUAUUGGUGCACAUCAUUUUUUCACCAAAGCCACUAUGGCAAGAAAGCGGAAUUUGCAUGUUUUUCCCCUUGGUGAAACAAAUAGUUACUGAUACACACAAACAAUGUGUGUAUCAGUGCAGAUCAACAAUCCUACAGUUACCAAUCUGCAUGUGCACAGGUGCAGAUUGCUUUCUCACCAAGGCCACUAUAAAAAGAAAGUUCCUUAUUUCUAAUUAAAAAAAAAAAAUGUUGCAGUCAGCAUAUUAAUUUGAAAUUAUUUUUUUGUUUCUGCAAUCUAUUCAUCAAGAGAGAUGUAUUAUAAGAAAACACAAUAUCAUGAUAUUUGAG
RNAcentral lists this long non-coding RNA (731 nucleotides) under Androctonus crassicauda. The record is from RNAcentral. Lineage: Eukaryota; Metazoa; Arthropoda; Arachnida; Scorpiones; Buthidae.